RNAcentral lists this ribosomal RNA (253 nucleotides) under uncultured bacterium. RNAcentral's name for it is "partial 16S ribosomal RNA". It matches the Rfam family "Bacterial small subunit ribosomal RNA", at positions 524 to 776 of the family's 1533-position model. The record is from RNAcentral.
UACGGAGGGUGCAAGCGUUAUCCGGAUUCACUGGGUUUAAAGGGUGCGUAGGUGGGCAGGUAAGUCAGUGGUGAGAUCUCCGGGCUUAACCCGGAAACUGCCAUUGAUACUAUCUGUCUUGAAUACCGUGGAGGUGAGCGGAAUAUGUCAUGUAGCGGUGAAAUGCUUAGAUAUGACAUAGAACACCAAUUGCGAAGGCAGCUCACUACACGAAUAUUGACACUGAGGCACGAAAGCGUGGGGAUCAAACAGG